UUCACCCCUACUUUUCACCUUUCAUUGCGAAAAAGGUCAUUCUCAUCCAUUUUUUCAAUAAAAUGACGAUUUUAUCCUCCUAUUCAAAUAAAACAAAAAGAAAAGAAAAGAAAAAUAAUUAAUUAAUUGUAAUCAUAGUCCUAAAUCUUUCAAAACAUUACAGAUAAAUUCUAAACUUUCCACUACCGCCACUUUCAUAACCCUACCAAGCCACCACCUAUAGAUCAAUAUAGCACUACCUUUCGACCACAACACCUAUCGGACUCCACCACCACCAGCCUCACAUCACUCUUCCCAAUAUCCUCCUCCAUAAUAUUAGUCACCAAUUUGUCUAAAACAACCACAUUUACGGUGGCAGAGUCUGGUUGGAAUGGUGGCAGAAAGGUGGUAUUAUGUUGAUUUAUAGUUGGCAACUUGAUAGGUUAUGAAAGUGGUGGUGGUUGGGAAUUUAUGAUUUCUUUGUAAUUUUUUAAAAAUUGAAGGACUAUGGUUGCAGGUGAUUAUUCAUCUUUUCUUUUUGUUUUAUUUGAAUAGGAGGAUAAAAUCGUCAUUUUAUUGAAAAAAUGGAUGAGAAUGACCUUUUUCACAAUGAAAUGUGAAAAGUAGGGGUGAAAAUACUAAAAAAUUAAAGGUAGGGACGUUUUGCACAAUAACAUUGAAAGGUAUGGACCUUUUGUGCUAAUUAUGCCAAAAAAUGAAAUGUAAGGACGUUUUGCACAAUAAUAUUGAAAGGUAGGAACCUUUUAUGCUAAUUACCUUUUGAUUUAACGGAACAUUUUAACGGGGAGUUGACAGAAUGACGUUUUGGGCAAAAAAAAAGGUAAAGGUGAGGGUGUAAUCCGCCAAAAAACGAAAGGCAUGGACGUUUUCCACAAAAAAUAUCGAAAGGUAAGGACGUUUUGUGCUAAUUACCCUUUUUUUUUGCGCAAAACGUUUUUCUGUCAACCCCUCGUUAAAAUGCUCCAUUAAAUCAAAGAGUAAUUAACACAAAAGGUCUCUACAUUUUAAUAUUAUUGUGAAAAACGUUCUUACCUUUCAUUUGUUUGGCAUAAUUAGCAUAAAAGGUCCCUACAUUUCAAUGUUAUUGUGCAAAACGUCCCUACCUUUCACCUUUCAUUACGCAAAAUGUCCUUUUCAUCCAUUUUUUCAAUAAAAUGAUGAUUUUACCUUCCUAUUCAAAUAAAACAAAAAGAAAAUAAAGUAAAAAUAAUUAAUUAAUUGCAAUCAUAGUCCUAAAUGUUACAAAACAUUACAGAUAAAUCCUAAAUUCUCCACUACCGUCAUUUUCACAACCCCACCAAGCCACCACCUAUAGAUCCAUAUAGCACUACCUUUCGACCACAAC
RNAcentral lists this long non-coding RNA (1345 nucleotides) under Olea europaea (common olive). Its description in RNAcentral is "long non-coding RNA (OEUR_LNC005352)". Lineage: Eukaryota; Viridiplantae; Streptophyta; Magnoliopsida; Lamiales; Oleaceae. The record is from RNAcentral.